UCCUACGGGGAGGCAGCAGUGGGGAAUAUUGCACAAUGGGCGCAAGCCUGAUGCAGCGACGCCGCGUGGGGGAUGACGGCCUUCGGGUUGUAAACCCCUUUCGCCAGGGACGAAGCGUAAGUGACGGUACCUGGAGAAGAAGCACCGGCCAACUACGUGCCAGCAGCCGCGGUAAUACGUAGGGUGCAAGCGUUGUCCGGAAUUAUUGGGCGUAAAGAGCUCGUAGGCGGUGUGUCACGUCUGCCGUGAAAACCUGCGGCUUAACCGUGGGCGUGCGGUGGAUACGGGCAUCACUUGAGUUCGGUAGGGGAGACUGGAAUUCCUGGUGUAGCGGUGGAAUGCGCAGAUAUCAGGAGGAACACCGGUGGCGAAGGCGGGUCUCUGGGCCGAUACUGACGCUGAGGAGCGAAAGCGUGGGGAGCGAACAGGAUUAGAUACCCUGGUAGUCCACGCCGUAAACGUUGGGCGCUAGGUGUGGGGCGCUGUUCACGUGUCCCGUGCCGUAGCUAACGCAUAAGCGCCCCGCCUGGAGGGCCCCACCGGUC
Molecule: ribosomal RNA, 545 nt
Filed under: Saccharomonospora azurea
Lineage: Bacteria; Bacillati; Actinomycetota; Actinomycetes; Pseudonocardiales; Pseudonocardiaceae
Description: bacterial SSU rRNA
Rfam family: Bacterial small subunit ribosomal RNA
Source: RNAcentral